Molecule: ribosomal RNA, 301 nt
Filed under: uncultured bacterium
Lineage: Bacteria
Description: partial 16S ribosomal RNA
Rfam family: Bacterial small subunit ribosomal RNA
Source: RNAcentral
CAGUCGCCGCGGUAAUACGAAGGGGGCUAGCGUUGCUCGGAAUGACUGGGCGUAAAGGGCGCGUAGGCGGCAUGUACAGUCAGACGUGAAAUUCCUGGGCUUAACCUGGGGGCUGCGUUUGAUACGUGCAGGCUAGAGUGGGGAAGAGGGUUGUGGAAUUCCCAGUGUAGAGGUGAAAUUCGUAGAUAUUGGGAAGAACACCGGUGGCGAAGGCGGCAACCUGGUCCUUGACUGACGCUGAGGCGCGAAAGCGUGGGGAGCAAACAGGAUUAGAUACCCGCGUAGUCCCUGUCUCUUAUAC